UAAGGAAUAUUGGUCAAUGGAGGCAACUCUGAACCAGCCAUGCCGCGUGCAGGAAGAAGGCCCUAUGGGUCGUAAACUGCUUUUGAACAAGAGAAAACCCCGGUACGUGUACUGGGUUGAUAGUAUUGUUAGAAUAAGCAUCGGCUAACUUCGUGCCAGCAGCCGCGGUAAGACGAAGGAUGCAAGCGUUAUCCGGAUUCAUUGGGUUUAAAGGGUGCGUAGGCGGACUGAUAAGUCAGUGGUGAAAUCUCUCGGCUUAACCGAGAAACUGCCAUUGAUACUGUUAGUCUAGAGUACAGAUGAUGUGGGCGGAAUAUGACAUGUAGUGGUGAAAUACUUAGAUAUGUCAUAGAACACCGAUUGCGAAGGCAGCUCACAAAACUGUAACUGACGCUGAGGCACGAAAGUGCGGGGAUCAAACGGGAUUAGAUACCCGCGUAGUCCCUGAGCGGGCUGGCAAGGCGCAU
This 467-nucleotide ribosomal RNA is filed under the name uncultured bacterium. RNAcentral describes it as "bacterial SSU rRNA". It matches the Rfam family "Bacterial small subunit ribosomal RNA", at positions 355 to 825 of the family's 1533-position model. The record is from RNAcentral.